ACACCGAGAGUGNAGUCGGUUAGAAUACCGGCCUGUCACGCCGGGGGUCGCGGGUUCGAGUCCCGUCCGCUGCGCCA
This 77-nucleotide transfer RNA is filed under the name Pseudomonas syringae pv. actinidiae ICMP 19073. Its description in RNAcentral is "tRNA-OTHER". It matches the Rfam family "tRNA". From Rfam's summary of the family: Transfer RNA (tRNA) molecules are approximately 80 nucleotides in length. Their secondary structure includes four short double-helical elements and three loops (D, anti-codon, and T loops). Lineage: Bacteria; Pseudomonadati; Pseudomonadota; Gammaproteobacteria; Pseudomonadales; Pseudomonadaceae. The record is from RNAcentral.